UCAGUCGACUCCUACGGGGAGGCAGCAGUGGGGAAUAUUGCACAAUGGGGGAAACCCUGAUGCAGCCAUGCCGCGUGUGUGAAGAAGGCCUUCGGGUUGUAAAGCACUUUCAGUAGGGAGGAAGGUAGUGUAGUUAACACCUGCACUAUUUGACGUUACCUACAGAAGAAGCACCGGCUAACUCCGUGCCAGCAGCCGCGGUAAUACGGAGGGUGCGAGCGUUAAUCGGAAUUACUGGGCGUAAAGCGCAUGCAGGCGGCCUGUUAAGUCAGAUGUGAAGCCCGGGGCUUAACCUCGGAAUUGCAUUUGAAACUGGCAGGCUAGAGUCUUGUAGAGGGGGGUAGGAAUUUCAGGUGUAGCGGUGAAAUGCGUAGAGAUCUGAAGGAAUACCAGUGGCGAAGGCGGCCCCCUGGACAAAGACUGACGCUCAGAUGCGAAAGCGUGGGGAGCAAACAGGAUUAGAUACCCUGGUAG
This 474-nucleotide ribosomal RNA is filed under the name uncultured bacterium. Its description in RNAcentral is "bacterial SSU rRNA". It matches the Rfam family "Bacterial small subunit ribosomal RNA", at positions 328 to 793 of the family's 1533-position model. The record is from RNAcentral.